AGAGAUGUGUGAUGACGCAUAUCAAUAAGCGGAGGAAAAGAAACUAACAAGGAUUCCCCUAGUAACGGCGAGUGAAGCGGGAAGAGCUCAAAUUUGAAAUCUUCAAGGUUCUACCUUGACGAAUUGUAGUUUAUAGAAGUGUUUUCUGUUAGUAGGAGUGGCAAAAGUUCUUUGGAAUAGGACAUCAUAGAGGGUGAGAAUCCCGUAUUUGGUCAUUCUUUCUAGCUUUGUGAUACACUUUCAACGAGUCGGAUUGUUUGGGAAUGCAGUCCAAAAUGGGUGGUAAAUUUCAUCUAAAGCUAAAUAUUGGCGAGAGACCGAUAGCGAACAAGUACCGUGAGGGAAAGAUGAAAAGAACUUUGAAAAGAGAGUUAAACAGUACGUGAAAUUGUCAAAAGGGAAGCGUUUGACACCAGUGUUGUUUUUCCGAAAAUCAAUUACGAAUGUUUUGUUUUUGAGAAGUUAUGACUUCAUCGGCUUGCUUCUCUCUUUACGAAACUUUCUUAAUGCACUUUUCGGUUAACAAGUCAACAUCAAUUUCUUUUGUUGUAAAAGGGUAUGAGGAAGGUGGCUUUCUUUUCGGAGAAAGUGUUUAUAGCCUUGUACCUCUGCAAUCGGAGAGAUUGAGGUCUGCAGCGUAGAUCCUUCGGGGUUAGAUACAUUUGUGCUAAGUUAUAGCUUUUCAUAGACAACUUGUUGACUAUGUUAAGUCUUGUAGCUUACUCGCUUAUGCUAUUUUACCUACGCUUAGGAUGUUGAAGAUGUAGCACAUCAU
RNAcentral lists this ribosomal RNA (775 nucleotides) under uncultured Neocallimastigales. Its description in RNAcentral is "partial large subunit ribosomal RNA". It matches the Rfam family "Eukaryotic large subunit ribosomal RNA", at positions 23 to 643 of the family's 3401-position model. Lineage: Eukaryota; Fungi; Neocallimastigomycota; Neocallimastigomycetes; Neocallimastigales. The record is from RNAcentral.